Molecule: long non-coding RNA, 513 nt
Organism: Oncorhynchus keta (chum salmon)
Lineage: Eukaryota; Metazoa; Chordata; Actinopteri; Salmoniformes; Salmonidae
Exons: 3
Source: RefSeq, a predicted model, not a curated record
CAGGAUAAUGGGGUCCAACACAAUGUCUUUUAUCAGGUCUAGUCCAGGAUAAUGGGGUCCAACACAAUGUCUUUUAUCAGGUCUAGUCCAGGAUAAUGGGGUCCAACACAAUGUCUUUUAUCAGGUCUAGUCCAGGAUAAUGGGGUCCAACACAAUGUCUUUUAUCAGGUCUAGUCCAGGAUAAUGGGGUCCAACACAAUGUCUUUUAUCAGGUCUAGUCCAGGAUAAUGGGGUCCAACACAAUGUCUUUUAUCAGGUCUAGUCCAGGAUAAUGGGGUCCAACACAAUGUCUUUUAUCAGGUCUAGUCCAGGAUAAUGGGGUCCAACACAAUGUCUUUUAUCAGGUCUAGUCCAGGAUAAUGGGGUCCAACACAAUGUCUUUUAUCAGGUCUAGUCCAGGAUAAUGGGGUCCAACACAAUGUCUUUUAUCAGGUCUAGUCCAGGAUAAUGGGGUCCAACACAAUGUCUUUUAUCAGGUCUAGUCCAGGAUAAUGGGGUCCAACACAAUGUCUU